CUAGCAUAUCAAUAAGCGGAGGAAAAGAAACCAACCGGGAUUGCCCUAGUAACGGCGAGUGAAGCGGCAAGAGCUCAAAUUUGAAAGCUGGCUCCUUCGGGGUCCGCAUUGUAAUUUGCAGAGGAUGCUUCGGGAGCGGUCCCCAUCUAAGUGCCCUGGAACGGGCCGUCAUAGAGGGUGAGAAUCCCGUAUGGGAUGGGGUGCCCGCGCCCGUGUGAAGCUCCUUCGACGAGUCGAGUUGUUUGGGAAUGCAGCUCUAAUUGGGUGGUAAAUUUCAUCUAAAGCUAAAUAUUGGCCGGAGACCGAUAGCGCACAAGUAGAGUGAUCGAAAGAUGAAAAGCACUUUGAAAAGAGAGUUAAAAAGCACGUGAAAUUGUUGAAAGGGAAGCGCUUGCGAUCAGACUCGCUCGCGGGGUUCAGCCGGCCUUCGGGCUGGUGUACUUCCCCGCGGGCGGGCCAGCGUCGGUUUGGGCGGCCGGUCAAAGGCCCCUGGAAUGUAACGCCUCUCGGGGCGUCUUAUAGCCAGGGGUGCCAUGCGGCCUGCCCGGACCGAGGAACGCGCUUCGGCUCGGACGCUGGCAUAAUGGUCGUAAGCGACCCGUCUUGAAACACGGACCAAGGAGUCUAACAUCUACGCGAGUGUUCGGGUGUCAAACCCGUGCGCGCAGUGAAAGCGAACGGAGGUGGGAACCCCUCGGGGUGCACCAUCGACCGAUCCUGAUGUCUUCGGAUGGAUUUGAGUAAGAGCGUAGCUGUUGGGACCCGAAAGAUGGUGAACUAUGCCUGAAUAGGGCGAAGCCAGAGGAAACUCUGGUGGAGGCUCGCAGCGGUUCUGACGUGCAAAUCGAUCGUCAAAUUUGGGUAUAGGGGCGAAAGACUAAUCGAACCAUCUAGUAGCUGGUUCCUGCCGAGU
Molecule: ribosomal RNA, 913 nt
Filed under: Penicillium sp.
Lineage: Eukaryota; Fungi; Ascomycota; Eurotiomycetes; Eurotiales; Aspergillaceae
Description: partial large subunit ribosomal RNA
Rfam family: Eukaryotic large subunit ribosomal RNA
Source: RNAcentral